UACGUAGGGACCGAGCGUUGUCCGGAUUCAUUGGGCGUAAAGAGCUCGUAGGCGGCCAACUAAGUCAGACGUGAAAUCCCUCGGCUUAACCGGGGAACUGCGUCUGAUACUGGAUGGCUUGAGUUUGGGAGAGGGAUGCGGAAUUCCAGGUGUAGCGGUGAAAUGCGUAGAUAUCUGGAGGAACACCGGUGGCGAAGGCGGCAUCCUGGACCAACACUGACGCUGAGUGAGCGAAAGCCAGG
This 242-nucleotide ribosomal RNA is filed under the name uncultured bacterium. Its description in RNAcentral is "partial 16S ribosomal RNA". It matches the Rfam family "Bacterial small subunit ribosomal RNA", at positions 524 to 764 of the family's 1533-position model. The record is from RNAcentral.